CUACACCCACAAUCGCCC
RNAcentral lists this microRNA (18 nucleotides) under Gallus gallus (chicken). RNAcentral's name for it is "microRNA Ros-gga". The record is from RNAcentral. Lineage: Eukaryota; Metazoa; Chordata; Aves; Galliformes; Phasianidae.